This 377-nucleotide ribosomal RNA is filed under the name uncultured eukaryote. Its description in RNAcentral is "SSU rRNA". It matches the Rfam family "Eukaryotic small subunit ribosomal RNA", at positions 587 to 963 of the family's 1831-position model. The record is from RNAcentral.
AGCUCCAAUAGCGUAUAUUAAAGUUGUUGCAGUUAAAAAGCUCGUAGUUGGAUUUCUGGCUGGAGCGACCGGUCCGCUCCCUCAGGGAGUGUGCACUGAUGUCGCCUCCGGCCAUCCUUGCGGAGAUCGUUUCCGGCAUUAAGUUGUCGGUUGCGGGACCUGCAUCGUUUACUGUGAAAAAAUUGAGUGUUUAAAGCAGGCGUUUGCUGUGAAUACAUUAGCAUGGAAUAAUAAGAUAGGACUUUGGUUGCUAUUUUGUUGGUUUGCGCACCAGAGUAAUGAUUAAUAGGGAUAGUUGGGGGUAUUCAUAUUCAAUUGUCAGAGGUGAAAUUCUUGGAUUUAUGGAAGAUGAACUUAUGCGAAAGCAUUUACCAAGG